GCAGCAGUGUGUCUGUGUCUGUGUCUGUGCAGCAGCAGUGUGUCUGUGUCUGUGUCUGUGUCUGUACAGCAGCAGUGUGUCUGUGUCUGUGUCUGUGUCUGUACAGCAGCAGUGUGUCUGUGUCUGUGUCUGUGUCUGUGUCUGUACAGCAGCAGUGUGUCUGUGUCUGUGUCUGUACAGCAGCGGCAGUGUGUCUGUGUCUGUGUCUGUGUCUGUGUCUGUGUCUGUGUCUGUGUCUGUGUCUGUGUCUGUGCAGCAGCAGUGUGUCUGUGUCUGUGUCUGUGUCUGUGUCUGUGCAGCAGCAGUGUGUCUGUGUCUGUGUCUGUGUCUGUGCAGCAGCAGUGUGUCUGUGUCUGUGUCUGUGUCUGUGUCUGUGUCUGUGUCUGUGCAGCAGCAGCCGCAGCAGUGUCUGUGCAUCCUUGUCAUCGUGCUGAUUUCCUCUGCUUUUCAGAAGCUCCAUCACGGUCAUUGCUGCCAUGAUCUGGUGGUUAGAUCAGAGGACUGAAAGUUAGGUCUUUUGUGACCUGUUUUUAGAACUGCUCCUUGACUCUGUGCACAUUAUUUUUAAUCUUUCUUCCUCUUUCUUAUGUCAUUCAGAGCAGUGACACCAUUUUGCAAGCUGUCAUUUUCAAAGGGGACCGUGCCUGUGGCCCAGCCUGCGUACCCAGAGCCUUUGGUUGCUCUUGUAUAACCAAAGGAGAGCAGGGUAGGGAGCGGCCGAGGAACGGGGUGCAGUCAGUGUCAGUUCCACACGUUGCAAGUCAGUGUCCGACACGUUUGUGGGCUCCUGUUCUCAGAUACCAUCUCAAACGAAUGAGUCUGCUUCCAGAUAUUUCUUCGUAAUGUUUAAUCUGCUACUUUGGCCUUGCCAUUAUGUGGCUGGUGAAGAUACAUGUUGAAAUAUCACCCUUUGGUGGAUUCAGCUCUGUUGUUUCUGAGGGCAAAACCAUAUGGGUGAGAAAUUGAGUGACCUCAUUUUUUAGGAUACAAAUAAUUCCAUGAAAUGUUUUUUGCAUCUUUUUGUCUUACUUUGCAUGGUGCCCUUUGCUCCUGUGCAGCUGUUGUGUGUGCCUUGAGAAGAGUGGUUUGGAUUCCGUGCUGGAUUCAAGGUGGCUCUGAAGUUGGUGAGAUUAUGAGACUCCAGCUGAAUUCUGCACCAUCCGAGUGUUCUGGCGAACGCACAGAUGGGAAGGAUGGUUUUCUGUGUGGUCGAACGAAAUGUUCCAUGAACAGGUUUGGAUGAGUUUUCACUGUGAAAUGAACAUAUGUCAUGUUAAAAGGGUACAGACCCACUCUCUCUGUUUCACCAUGCAGAUUUGGUUUUAAACCAGGCGAAACCAGGCAUUGUUUUCCCUAUAUCGAAACUGGAAGCGUCCACAUUGUUAUAAGGCAUCUUUAUACCUAUAGUGCGACGAGCUAGUGCUCUGCACACAGAGGGGAGUGAGGAUUUGGUGAGACCUGAGCUGCUGCCGGUGAUGCUGUGGUCAGCUGGUACCGGUGCAGACAGCCGGGGCGCUCAGUGGGUCGGCUGUUGAACGGAGUUCAGAGGAGGAGCAGCUCAGGCAGCCUGCGUGAGUGCGGGUGGGAGUGCAGGAGCACGGGCAGUGUGAGUGCAGGAGCACGGGCAGUGUGAGUGCAGGAGCACGGGCAGUGUGAGUGCAGGAGCACGGGCAGUGUGAGUGCAGGAGCACGGGCAGUGUGAGUGCAGGAAUACAGGCAGUGUGAGUGCAGGAGCACGGGCAGUGUGAGUGCAGGAGCACGGGCAGUGUGAGUGCAGGAGCACGGGCAGUGUGAGUGCAGGAGCACGGGCAGUGUGAGUGCAGGAAUACAGGCAGUGUGAGUGCAGGAAUACAGGCAGUGUGAGUGCAGGAGCACGGGCAGUGUGAGUGCAGGAAUACAGGCAGUGUGAGUGCAGGAGCACAGGCAGUGCGGCUGUUGUUGGUGCAGGGUGCUGCAGGCUGUUCUCAGGCUCAGAACCGCUCGGGACGGCUGAGGACAGCGAGCCUCGCGGCACGCAUGCAGCGCCGAGUCCUGUGUCUGCGGAUCCCGGCACAGCUGGGACAGGAGCUGUGUCUUGUGAUCCUCCAUCCGUCUGGCCAGGAAAACCCCAGCACUGUUUCUGUGGAAUGAUUCUUUGGCCUUACUCUUGUCUCCUCUGGCGGGCACUUCGUCCUGCUGCAUUUCGUUGGCUCUUUGUGUGUCGGGGCCCUGCUGAGCGCCUGCAGAUCACAGGCUCUGCCCAGCUCUCAGCUUCCACCCCUCAGAGCGAGCGGCCUCACACCCUAGAUAGCUUGCUAUAAAAAUGCAACACUACUUCUUUCCUUUGCAUGGGUCAACUCACUUGCACCUUUUUUCUUCCCUUUGCCUGGAUCAGUUCAGUUGCAUCUUCAUUUUUCCUUUUUAGCUCAGAUGACUUUGAAGAAAGUGCCCUGAAGUACACCCGUUGCUGCUGGUCUCCGAGCGGUUGCUGAGAUCUCUAUCGGUUUCUCACAUGGUCGCAGAGCAUGACUUAGAGGCAGAUUUGGCAAGUCACAUUCUGAACUUUCUGUGUUCUCUUCAGGGCUCAGGUUGCUUAAGGCUUUUUCUUGGUCUGCCUGUAUAAUGGCACUGGGGAAAAUAGACAAGAGUCAGCUAAAGGUGUCAAGUGAAUCCACUUUCACUGAAUGCCUUAAAAUGACUCAUCUCACUUUCCCCAGUGUCCCUGCAGAUAAACUGUAAGUUCAGAAGGUUUGUCCCGCAUUUCAGAAGGUGGCAAUGCAGAACCUGCUGCAGGAGGAACCGGUCCCUGCAGAUAAACUGUGAGUUCGGGAGGUCUGUCCCGUGUUUCGGGAGGUGGUAAUGCAGAAGCUGCCGCAGCGGGGCCGGUCCGGCCGGGCAGCGUCCGCCCCCGCAGCUGCGGAGCCCCCGGUCCCGGGCUGCGCAGGUUAACGGGGCAGUUCCUUCCUGAUUAAUUUCUGUCUGAAGGAAGAGAGGUGAUUCGCAUUUCUCUUGGCCACAUCUAAGAGCUGGGUCGUACAUUGAUCUGAUCCUUUGAAAACUCCAGCCACUGGCUCGUUAAACUGCAAGGCGGGACUCUGAACUUUGCACCGGGUGUCCGUGAGCUGGUUCUGCAGACGCCGUUGCUUUCUCGUGCCACAUCUGCCGACGCACAGCUGGAGGACCGUGCGCCUCUGGUCUCUGUUCACAGGCGUUUGAACUGCAGCGGCUGGCUGGAGGCCGCGGGCAGGGUGGACUUGUAUCUGGAGACUUGGAUCUCUUUGUACGGGCGGGCUUGUAUCGACAGAGAGCUGCUGUUUACUUCGUAUAAAUAAAUAAAGAACUACAA
Molecule: long non-coding RNA, 3325 nt
Organism: Columba livia (rock pigeon)
Lineage: Eukaryota; Metazoa; Chordata; Aves; Columbiformes; Columbidae
Exons: 2
Source: RefSeq, a predicted model, not a curated record